RNAcentral lists this transfer-messenger RNA (358 nucleotides) under Alteromonadaceae. RNAcentral describes it as "Glaciecola sp024199005 Standard tmRNA". It matches the Rfam family "transfer-messenger RNA". From Rfam's summary of the family: Bacterial tmRNA, also known as 10Sa RNA or SsrA, is named for its dual tRNA and mRNA-like properties. Its role is to liberate the mRNA from a stalled ribosome. To accomplish this part of the tmRNA is used as a reading frame that ends in a translation stop signal. Lineage: Bacteria; Pseudomonadati; Pseudomonadota; Gammaproteobacteria; Alteromonadales. The record is from RNAcentral. RNAcentral also lists the same sequence under 1 other name.
GGGGCUGAUUAGGAUUCGACAGGAUUCAAUGAUGCUUGAGGUGCAUGCAGAGGUGCGGUUGGCCUCUUUAAAAAACCGCAAAAAAAUAGUCGCAAACGACGAAAACUACGCACUAGCAGCUUAAUAACCUGUAUAGGCCCUCCCACUCAAGUUUUUUCUGCUAGCUGAGGUUCGGGAGGUCAUCCCAGUAGAAUAGCGAGGGAAGCUUGUCUAAGGCUGAACCGCGAAAUAGUAUUAGGCCAGCCUGAAAAGAUCCUGUUUGCCGGAGCUUCUAAGGUUAAAUAAAAGACAAACUAAGCAUGUAGUACCAACGGUUGACGCUUUCUGGACGCGGGUUCAAGUCCCGCCAGCUCCACCA